AUUGUGGGAUUGGAUGAGUCUCAAGAUGGACAACCGGGAUGUUGCAGGAAAGGCUAACCGGUGGUUUGGGGUUGCUCCCCCUAAAUCUGGAAAAAUGAACAUGAACAUCCUUCACCAGGAAGAGCUCAUCGCUCAGAAGAAACGGGAAAUUGAAGCCAAAAUGGAACAGAAAGCCAAGCAGAAUCAGGUGGCCAGCCCUCAGCCCCCACAUCCUGGCGAACGCCCCGACCAGUGCGCCCAGCGCCCCUCCCAGCACACCCACCCCCAGCGCUGGGAAGAGGUCCCUGCUCAUCAGCAGGCGGACAGGCCUGGGGCUGGCCAGCCUGCCGGGCCCUGUGAAGAGCUACUCCCACGCCAAGCAGCUGCCCGUGGCGCACCGCCCGAGUGUCUUCCAGUCCCCUGACGAGGACGAGGAGGAGGACUAUGAGCAGUGGCUGGAGAUCAAAGUGUGUCUCACCAAGACAGUGAGACCGACUCCCCCCUCGUCAUGGUGUUUUGUGCCUGGACUCGGGACGCCCGACAGCCUCCUGCAUCU
Molecule: long non-coding RNA, 535 nt
Filed under: Homo sapiens (human)
Lineage: Eukaryota; Metazoa; Chordata; Mammalia; Primates; Hominidae
Description: non-protein coding lnc-TM6SF2-3:1
Source: RNAcentral